GACUACGUAGCUCAGUUGGAAGAGCAUUGGGCUAGUAUUCCAAAGGUCGUAGGUUCGAAUCCCACCGUGGCCG
RNAcentral lists this transfer RNA (73 nucleotides) under Paramuricea clavata. It matches the Rfam family "tRNA". From Rfam's summary of the family: Transfer RNA (tRNA) molecules are approximately 80 nucleotides in length. Their secondary structure includes four short double-helical elements and three loops (D, anti-codon, and T loops). The record is from Rfam by way of RNAcentral. Lineage: Eukaryota; Metazoa; Cnidaria; Anthozoa; Malacalcyonacea; Plexauridae.